RNAcentral lists this ribosomal RNA (301 nucleotides) under uncultured bacterium. Its description in RNAcentral is "partial 16S ribosomal RNA". It matches the Rfam family "Bacterial small subunit ribosomal RNA", at positions 509 to 807 of the family's 1533-position model. The record is from RNAcentral.
CAGCCGCCACGGUAAUACAGAGGAUGCAAGCGUUAUCCGGAAUGAUUGGGUGUAAAGCGUCUGUAGGUGGCCUUUCAAGUCCGCCGUCAAAUCCCAGGGCUCAACCCUGGACAGGCGGUGGAAACUACCAAGCUGGAGUACGGUAGGGGCAGAGGGAAUUUCCGGUGGAGCGGCGAAAUGCGUUGAGAUCGGAAAGGACACCAACGGCGAAAGCACUCUGCUGGGCCGACACUGACACUGAGAGACGAAAGCUAGGGGAGCAAAUGGGAUUAGAGACCCCCGUAGUCCCUGUCUCUUAUAC